This is a non-coding RNA of Morchella snyderi, 99 nucleotides long. Lineage: Eukaryota; Fungi; Ascomycota; Pezizomycetes; Pezizales; Morchellaceae. The record is from the annotation of a GenBank genome assembly.
GUUGUGGUAGUGUAGUGGUACAAAGUUCUCACUUGGAUGAGUGGAGUAAACGCUGCGAAGCAGGUGACAACGACUGAGGUUCGAUUCCUCACCACAACG